UUGGCGGUCUCGCUGCAGCCUCCAUUGCGUAGUAGCUAACACCUCGCAACUGGAACGCGGCGCGGCCAUGCCGUAAAACCCCAACUUCUGAAUGUUGACCUCGGAUCAGGUAGGAAUACCCGCUGAACUUAAGCAUAUCAAUAGGCCGGGAGGGGAAA
Molecule: ribosomal RNA, 158 nt
Filed under: Fusarium avenaceum
Lineage: Eukaryota; Fungi; Ascomycota; Sordariomycetes; Hypocreales; Nectriaceae
Description: partial 28S ribosomal RNA
Source: RNAcentral